AGUAAAUAACACCAGUUUAUCUGUUUUAUAUGUUGCUAUUACAGAUAGGAAUGACACCAUUGUUGUAUGCAGCACAGGAAGGACACCUGAAUAUCAUCCGUUAUCUGGUCAUAGUCGGCUGUGAUACAGAAGUCAGAUCAACCAAGGUGAUUAUAGAUUGUAUCUCCUCAGUCUGAUUCUACUCUAUUUUAUACUUUAUCAACACAAAAUCAUGUUGUAAAAUCAGACAGAUUUAAUGGACAACACAGAAUGUAAGAAAUAAAUUAAUAAUGUUAGAUCUUCAAAUAGAAUCAUAUAAUAAACAGG
RNAcentral lists this long non-coding RNA (306 nucleotides) under Mytilus galloprovincialis (Mediterranean mussel). Lineage: Eukaryota; Metazoa; Mollusca; Bivalvia; Mytilida; Mytilidae. The record is from RNAcentral.